RNAcentral lists this long non-coding RNA (323 nucleotides) under Elaeis guineensis (African oil palm). RNAcentral describes it as "long non-coding RNA (EGUI_LNC060557)". Lineage: Eukaryota; Viridiplantae; Streptophyta; Magnoliopsida; Arecales; Arecaceae. The record is from RNAcentral.
CUCCGAGAUUUUUAGGGUCCUUAUUUGAAAUGUCUUCUGGCACCUCCGCCUCUAGUGGUUCUGAAAGUUCGUCCGCCUCAGCCCCCCAGAACCUCCACACUGUAGUCGAACCCACAUCUGGGGCUGGGCCUCGCCCAGUUUUUGCAUCGGGUGCCAUUCCUUGUUCUCUGACUUCGGAUGAACUCCUACUGAUAAGGGUUCAGUAUGGAGUUCCUCCGGAGUACGAGCUAGAGCUUUCUGGUCCAUCCGAUCGGGCUAGCACUCCUCCACCUGACUGCUUCUGCUUGUAUCAGGAGGCCUUCCGUGCCGGACUCCGGCUUCCG